GUCCCGGCCGUAAACGAUGGAUACUAGGUGUUGCGGGUAUCGACCCCUGCAGUGCCGUAGCUAACGCGAUAAGUAUCCCGCCUGGGGAGUACGCACGCAAGUGUGAAACUCAAAGGAAUUGACGGGGACCCGCACAAGCGGUGGAACAUGUGGUUUAAUUCGAAGCAACGCGAAGAACCUUACCAAGACUUGACAUCUAGAGAACCUUUGUGAAAGCAGAGGGUGCUCUUCGGAGAACUCUAAGACAGGUGGUGCACGGUUGUCGU
This 266-nucleotide ribosomal RNA is filed under the name uncultured bacterium. RNAcentral describes it as "partial 16S ribosomal RNA". It matches the Rfam family "Bacterial small subunit ribosomal RNA", at positions 793 to 1055 of the family's 1533-position model. The record is from RNAcentral.